RNAcentral lists this ribosomal RNA (507 nucleotides) under uncultured bacterium. Its description in RNAcentral is "partial 16S ribosomal RNA". It matches the Rfam family "Bacterial small subunit ribosomal RNA", at positions 899 to 1397 of the family's 1533-position model. The record is from RNAcentral.
ACUCAAAUGAAUUGACGGGGGCUCACACAAGCGGUGGAGCAUGUGGUUCAAUUCGAAGCAACGCGAAGAACCUUACCCGGGUUUGAAAUUCACGGAUGGGUCUUGUGAAAGCAGGAUACCCUACUCGCAAGAGUGAAACGUGGACAGGUGUUGCAUGGCUGUCGUCAGCUCGUGUCGUGAGAUGUCGGGUUAAGUCCCUCAACGAGCGAAACCCUUGUCUCUAGUUACCAUCGGUUCGGCCGGGGACUCUAGAGAGACUGCCGUUGUGAAAACGGAGGAAGGUGGGGAUGACGUCAAGUCAUCAUGGCCUUUAUGUCCGGGGCUACACACGUGCUACAAUGGCCGGUACAAAGGGAUGCUAAGCCGCGAGGUAGAGCAAAACUCACAAAGCCGGCCCCAGUUCAGAUUGGAGGCUGCAACUCGCCUCCAUGAAGAUGGAAUCGCUAGUAAUCGCGGAUCAGCUACGCCGCGGUGAAUAUGUUCCUGGGCCUUGUACACACCGCCCGU